Molecule: long non-coding RNA, 458 nt
Filed under: Apteryx owenii (little spotted kiwi)
Lineage: Eukaryota; Metazoa; Chordata; Aves; Apterygiformes; Apterygidae
Description: lncRNA (ENSAOWG00000009465.1)
Source: RNAcentral
GGCUGCUGGUCGUUGCUACCUGUGGUGAAGGCAUGCAUCGGGAUGGUGAAAUAACAGGUUUCCACUCUGGGAUUGUCUUCUAGGGCCAACUUUCACCAAUGGAAGUAAAAUUUGUUUUUCCAGCACUCUGGUGCACCGUCCCUGCUACCGUUCAGCCCACAGAACAGGGAUCACCUUGUAAAUGCUUUGGAACAAGAGCACCCUUCAUUCUCCAGGUUGUGUGGCUUAGUUUUGAGGGAUCCUACUCCACAGCACUGUUUUGGUACAAAAGAUAAGUCCAAACAAAGGAUAUAGACUGGGGCUAAGAACAAAUGAUCAGUCUGCAAUGACAAAGAGCUUCAUAAACUCCUGGUUAGCCCGCUUAAGUAAAGUUACUUGCAAAGAAUCUUCUGAUAUGUUAAUUAUGUUAUUCAUACUGUUUUUCUGAAUCUCAAAACAAAGUGUGAUCUUGAUUUCAA